RNAcentral lists this ribosomal RNA (495 nucleotides) under uncultured bacterium. RNAcentral describes it as "bacterial SSU rRNA". It matches the Rfam family "Bacterial small subunit ribosomal RNA", at positions 64 to 524 of the family's 1533-position model. The record is from RNAcentral.
GAACGGACGAAUUGGAGAGAGACUUCGGGUAAUCGAAGACAAGUAAGUGGCGGACGGGUGAGUAACGCGUGGAUAACCUACCAUUAUGCCUGGGAUACUCUGGGAAACCGGAGCUAAUACUGGAUAAACUUACAGGAUGGCAUCAUCCAAUAAGCAAAGGAGGCCUCUGACAUAAGCUCCCGCAUAAAGAUGGAUCCGCGUCCCAUUAGCUAGUUGGUAAGGUAGUGGCUUACCAAGGCGACGAUGGGUAGCCGGCCUGAGAGGGUGACCGGCCACACUGGGACUGAGACACGGCCCAUACUCCUACGGGAGGCAGCAGUGGGGAAUAUUGCGCAAUGGGGGAAACCCUGACUCAGCAACGCCGCGUGAGUGAAGAAUGCCUUCGGGUCGUAAAACUCUGUCGUUGGAGAAGAAGUCUUGUAUCUUAAUAGGAUAUAAUGUGACGGUACCCAAGAAGGAAGCCACGGCUAACUACGUGCCAUCAGCCGCGGUAAU